AGCAGCCGCGGUAAUUCCAGCUCCAAUAGCGUAUAUUAAAGUUGUUGCAGUUAAAAAGCUCGUAGUUGAAUUUCGGGAUCAGUACGCUGGUCGUGCCUUUGGUAUGUACUGGUGUCACUGAUUCCUCCCUUCUGAAGAGCCGUUAUGCCAUUUAUUUGGUGUGGCGGGGAAUCAGGACUGUUACUUUGAAAAAAUUAGAGUGUUUAAAGCAGGCUCGCGCUUGAAUACAUUAGCAUGGAAUAAUGAAAUAGGACGUUUGAUCUUAUUUUGUUGGUCUCUAGGAUCGACGUAAUGAUUAGUAGGGAUAGUUGGGGGCAUUAGUAUUCAAUUGUCAGAGGUGAAAUUCUUGGAUUUAUUGAAGACUAACUACUGCGAAAGCAUUUGCCAAGGAUGUUUUCAUUAAUCAAGAACGAAAGUUAGGGGAUCGAAGACGAUCAGAUACCGUCGUAGUCUUAACCAUAAACUAUGCCGACUAGGGAUCGGAUGAUGUUAUUUUUAAUGACUC
Molecule: ribosomal RNA, 505 nt
Filed under: uncultured Glomus
Lineage: Eukaryota; Fungi; Glomeromycota; Glomeromycetes; Glomerales; Glomeraceae
Description: SSU rRNA
Rfam family: Eukaryotic small subunit ribosomal RNA
Source: RNAcentral